UCCGCUGUUUGGCUGAUCCCAAAGAGAGAAUGUGGCUCAGGCGUGGAGUCAGGAGGCAAGCUCCCAUCACCGUCACAGUCUCCAAGAGUCUAGAACCUUCUCCAUUGCUGCUGAUCUAUGGGACUAGAGGACCAACCCGGUGUUGAUAUUCAGGGACAGGUGGCUCCUUACUGUGUCUUGGAGACUCCCCUCAUGGCCUAAGUGAGUGGCUGUUCCUAUGUAGUCGUGAGGAGCAACUUGGGAAAGGGAAGCAUGGAACAGCUAUCCCAGGAAACUGUUAUGGCAACGGAAAGACAACAGAAGCCCUCGCUAGCCUCUCUGGAAGCCCAUUCAUCCCCAGAACUCUCUGCCUUCGCUGAGCGGACAUUCAUCAGCGGUCAGGUAGCCUGGUAAGUGUCUCAUGGAUUUUCCACUUCAUGCUUGCAGUGACAGAUGUCUACCGAGCACCUACUACGUGUCAAACUCUAGCUUACAUGUUAGGGAUGCUGCCUAGAUCAAAACACAGCCACAUGCCUGCAGCCAUGCUUUACAUUCUAUCCCAGGCUGCCCAAGGCAGAACUAAGGUCCAUUUCCAGUGAACUUCAUGGCCGAACCACAAACAGAUCACAGUCCUUUGGGAGUCUUACACAGCUCUCCAGAGACACCGUAUGUGAAGCCGCUGCAAAUGCGUCCAGCAUUCUUGGGUCACCGAAGGGAGCUGUCUGUCAUCUACUGGAUGCCCAGGCAGGGCCUGAGGCUGAAGAGAGUGAGUGUAGGAGCCAGUGUGUGUUUCAGAACCUCGUCUGUAAAGUGGGGUAACAACCGGCCUAUUAGUUGCCUUGUGGGGAACACAGGAAGUGAACCCCCUUUGCAAGGUGGGAAAAGGUUAGGUGUGAGCCGUCAGAGCUCUGUCUCUCAGUUCCACAUUCAGAGGGCAAAGCAGAGGAGAAGGGAGCACCAGCCUAAGCUUUCGCAUUCAGGGACCAAAGCCUCUCCCUUCAGCCCCCACACUGACAUCAGUGAAAGUCUCCCGGACCAGAACUGGCCAGGAAAAAGCAGAGAGAGCCAGCCCAGGAGUGCAGCUCCUGCAGUGUGAGUGUGGCUCAAGGAAGAGGUGAAAGCAUUCAAAAGAUUCAGGGUUCAGCUAGGUCUCCCCAAACAGGAAGCAUCCGUGGGCAAGGUCACCUGCCUAGGGAGGAAGCUCUGAACUUCGUGUGCCUCCUGGGUCAUGGUCCUUGCAGUUGGGUGGGACUGUGCCUCCCAUUUUUCCAGAGAGGGUUCUCAUGACACGUGAAGCCAGUCCUGAUUUAAUAGGAUGCUGAAUUGCUGCUGCUGGAGGACACUGGAGCUCGCCUUCCCACCAAUCCAUGAGCACACAACUUGGUUCGAGAUGCGUUCCUGUCUGAGGACACCUUGGUAACCUAUGUUGCUGGGUCAUUAGCAAAGAGCCUGCCCACAGCCGCAGGGCAGCGCCUGACUGCCGUCAGAAACAAGCACCUGUAAGAGGGUUCUCUGAGUCACGUGGUCACCUCCUGCCGGUGGUCCCUGAAAUGCCAAAGCACCACCAGAAAGCCCAGAAAUGCUAACCACGUGGCCCUAAAUAGACUGAGGAAAUAUUUACACCAUGAGUAAGAAGGAAUGUUUGGCCUCAGUUGGGAAUGAGCGUCAAACGUCAUCCUUGAACUAAGACUUGACACCUCUUGGCACCUGAAGCUGUGUGAGCACUGACUUGGAGUUACAAAUAUUUUUUAGCAAGUGGCAAAUUCACUGACCCCUGUGAUGAGGACAGUACAAGAAUGGCAUUCUGGUGGCACUGGAACCAUUGCCCUCACUGGUACCCUGCUCUUGACCUUGGUAGGAAAGAGGAGGUGGGGAGACCCUGGAAGUUGUACAAGCAGCCCCCUCACUCCCUCCUUGCUCAAGAAGGGGCUGUCAGGGAGAAGAAAGUCCCCUGCUGUGGAGUCUUGUUACUCCUUAGACCUCUGCUGGGACAUGCCCACAGCUGGUGCCCAACCCCUCUGCCCCCGCCCUGCCCUAUUCAUGGGCCUGUGGGGCUAAGCUAAAUUCCUUCCACAGCAUAAUUCAGUUGUUGCAGCCCCUGAACCCCAGGAAGGCAGGGUGAGGGCUCUGGGGUCAGCCCAGGUCUGUUGCGUGUUCCCUUCCAGUGACCACCCACGUCACAAAGGCCUUCUGGAAACUGGGCAAUAUGUUCUUGGCACCCUUACAGACCCAACCAGACCUCUUCUCUUCACACCAGCAUCCAGCCUAGGCUACUUCCUCGUGAGAAAGUGAGAGGGUGAGAGGGAAGCCCUAUCGCCAUCUUGAACUUAAUAAAAUACAGCAGGUAUUGACCCACCAUAACCCCAACCGGGCCAGAGGAAGGUUCACAUCUCGCUGUGGUUCUAUGAAAGGCUGUACUUCCCUGACAGCCUGUGAAGGGAGCCAGGAGGAGGGUGGGACUCUCAGGAGUCCUAGAGACUCACGCCAAGGAAACCACAGGCGGCCAAUGGGAAGAAUGGGGGCUCCUUAAGUGCCAAUGGCAGCUCAGCUCCGUAGCCUCUGGGAAGCUCUGAGUGAAGCCAGCAAAGUGGAUGUCCCCAGGAGAAUCGUGACAGGUACAAAACAGGAGUGAAGAACAGAAACGUCAGAGUUGCCUUUGGAGGCGCCACAAGGGCCACCAGGGGACAGGCUGUGCUAGGUGGUGUUGGUCUUUAAAUAAAGUGACCAAAGAAAGCCUUUUAUGGUCACAGCUGGACUCACGGCUUGGGGUAGCUCUUGUUCUUAAUCAGGCAACCUCGGGCAUCCUCUCUGGCCCCGGAGUCCACACCCUCCCAGUCGAGUUAAUUAUAACGCACACCCAGUGAAGCUGAGGUUCGGCAUCAAAGUCACGCAGCUGUCAACUGGAGCUCACUGUUAACUGAGCCGCAGACACCCUCAGAGUGCACUGACACCACCAUUCCACAGUUGGGAAGGAGGUGCUCCAGGCUGCGGCAGAUUCCAGACCAGGGUGUCCAACUGUGUAGGGCUCAUUCCAGGAGGGGCCCUUAAGGGGAACUGGAGUGGCCGGCUCUGCAAGAAGACCAAGGAUGAAGCAUUAGACGGCGAUUCUGAGAACCUGAGCUCGCAGUGCCCGACUGAGACUGGGUGCUCAGAGAAAGCCAAGUGGCUACCACCUUGUGUGUAAUCAAUUACAGGUGGCCCAGAAGACUAAAGCAGUUUCCAGGGGCUUGCCACUCCGAGAGUAACUACAGAAAGAAAAAAAAAUAAGUGAGAAACUGCCCUUAUCCAUCCUGUGAGUUCAAGCAGUAGGGUGUCAGGGCCACACAAGGACAUCCUGAAGGAUCAAGGUGGCUUUUUUUUUUUUUUCAGCCACAGCCCUUAGAUUCACCCAAACCAAACCAUGACCUGUAGUGCUGAGCCUAGAAGCCAACUCCUGUACCCCACUCUGACUCCAGUCCUGAGCUUCUGUAGUGGAGGGUGGGCCUCAACGGGCGCCAGACAGGUUGUUCCCAGCACCUGAUCACUGCCUGCAGUCCACAGCCCGUCUUCACGCUGUCCUGAUCCCCUUAGCGGAGCCAGGGUGCAGAAGCCCAGAGCCCAGUCUGGAGACCUCAGGGCUCCACAAACUCAUCCUUAUUGGCUCUUGUCACCUCCAUCUCUCCAGAUCCCCACCUUGAAACUUUCUCUCACUUCCUGGAUGUACCUUGAAUCCAGAGUGCUUUGGGCUGUGUAGAUCUGAGAAGCUAGAGAAGAGAAGGGAAGGUCUGAGUCAUAGCAUCUCCAGCAUGGACAGUGCUUGUCCUCAAAGCUAGCCUCCAGUAGCCACCAUGCCAACCUUCCUACUCUGGUGGCCUUGGGACAGGGAAGCGCAGUGAGAUGUCCAUACACCUACUGCAGUGAUGUGAUUUAAACGUUAGUGUUCUCCAAAAUAUCUGUGUUAACGCCUGCCCUGCAAGGAGAUCGUGCUAGGGUUGGACCAGUACUAGGAUGGUCUCCAGGGAGAGCCCUCAGGAAACAAGCAGCUAUGAAAGUUAAUACUGACUGUCAACUUAAUGGGAUUUAGUGUUGCCAUGGAAACAAACUUCUGGAUGUGCCUGUGAGGGAGUGUUUAGACUUGGUAAACUGAAGCAGAAAGACCCGUUCUAGGGGUGGGUGGCACCAAUCCUAUGGGCUGGGUCCGUGGCUAAGUAAAAGAGAGAACGGUCUGAAUACGG
Molecule: long non-coding RNA, 4193 nt
Organism: Arvicola amphibius (Eurasian water vole)
Lineage: Eukaryota; Metazoa; Chordata; Mammalia; Rodentia; Cricetidae
Exons: 3
Source: RefSeq, a predicted model, not a curated record